Molecule: ribosomal RNA, 537 nt
Filed under: Hylomyscus sp. 7 VN-2012
Lineage: Eukaryota; Metazoa; Chordata; Mammalia; Rodentia; Muridae
Description: partial 16S ribosomal RNA
Rfam family: Bacterial large subunit ribosomal RNA
Source: RNAcentral
CACCUCUAGCAUUUCAAGUAUUAGAGGCAUUGCCUGCCCAGUGACUAUAGUUAAACGGCCGCGGUAUCCUGACCGUGCAAAGGUAGCAUAAUCAUUUGUUCCUUAAUUAGGGACUAGCAUGAACGGCUAGACGAGGGCUCAACUGUCUCUUAUUUUUAAUCAGUGAAAUUGACCCUCCAGUGAAGAGGCUGGAAUAUAACAAUAAGACGAGAAGACCCUAUGGAGCUUAAAUUAAUAGCUUAAUUACUGUUUCACUACCCUAUAUGGCACAAGACAAAAAAUCAUAAGCUUAAAAUUUUGGUUGGGGUGACCUCGGAGAAUAAAAAAUCCUCCGAACGAUAAAUAACUUAGACUCACAAGUCAAAGUAGCCUAACUAACUAUCUAAUUGACCCAAAAAUUGAUCAACGGACCAAGUUACCCUAGGGAUAACAGCGCAAUCCUAUUUAAGAGUCCAUAUCGACAAUAGGGUUUACGACCUCGAUGUUGGAUCAGGACAUCCCAAUGGUGCAGAAGCUAUUAAUGGUUCGUUUGUUCAA